Molecule: ribosomal RNA, 758 nt
Filed under: uncultured CFB group bacterium EBAC40
Lineage: Bacteria; Pseudomonadati; Bacteroidota
Description: SSU rRNA
Rfam family: Bacterial small subunit ribosomal RNA
Source: RNAcentral
CAACUCUGAUCCAGCCAUGCCGCGUGCAGGAAGACGGCCCUAUGGGUUGUAAACUGCUUUUAUAUAGGAAGAAACCUUUUCACGUGUGAGAAGCUGACGGUACUAUAAGAAUAAGGACCGGCUAACUCCGUGCCAGCAGCCGCGGUAAUACGGAGGGUCCGAGCGUUAUCCGGAAUCAUUGGGUUUAAAGGGUCCGUAGCGGGAAUCUAAGUCAGUGGUGAAAUCUUGCAGCUCAACUGUAAAAUUGCCAUUGAUACUGGAUDUCUUGAAUUAGUGUGAAGUGAUUAGAAUGUGUAGUGUAGCGGUGAAAUGCAUAGAUAUUACACAGAAUACCAAUUGCGAAGGCAGAUCACUAACACUAUAUUGACGCUGAGGGACGAAAGCGUGGGGAGCGAACAGGAUUAGAUACCCUGGUAGUCCACGCCGUAAACGAUGGAUACUAGCUGUUCGAUCUUCGGAUUGAGUGGCUAAGCGAAAGUGAUAAGUAUCCCACCUGGGGAGUACGUUCGCAAGAAUGAAACUCAAAGGAAUUGACGGGGGCCGCACAAGCGGUGGAGCAUGUGGUUUAAUUCGAUGAUACGCGAGGAACCUUACCAGGGCUUAAAUGUAGUCUGACAGCUUUAGAGAUAGAGUUUUCUUCGGACAGAUUACAAGGUGCUGCAUGGUUGUCGUCAGCUCGUGCCGUGAGGUGUCAGGUUAAGUCCUAUAACGAGCGCAACCCCUGUUGUUAGUUGCAGCGAGUAAUGUCGGGAACUCUA